GGGAGGUGGAGGUGGAGGUGGAGAGGGAGAGUGGCAGGGAAUGGGAGAGGGAGAGACAGACAGGGAGAAGGAGAGAGGGGGAAAGGAGGGGAAGGGGAGAGGAAGAGAAGAAGGGGAAGAGGGAAGGGGGAGGGGAGAGUGAGAGGGGGAGGGGAAAGGGGGAGGAGGGAGUUGGGGAGAGGGAGAAAGAGAUUGAUUUUCUUUAGAAUGGUAGAAUCCCAGAAGUGUCCCACGUUCCUACCACUAAUCCUUCAAACCAUCCUACCCUCCUCAUCCCAGAAGCAUCCCAUCCUCCUGAGAAUUACCUUACUUAAACUUGGCUUUACCAAGCUACUUUCCCCUGAAAAUGAUCCUUCAGUGUGUCACUGAGGUGUCACCUUAGCUGGGGCGUCUUCCUGCCAGGCAGAGAGGCAAAAGGCAGAGUCCGAAUCCAGUCUGACUUGGAGUAAGUUCUGCGAACACCCAAGGGACUAGAAGAGAGAAGGCCUUCCACAGGAGUUUUAGGCAAGGAAGCUCAUUGGCUGAACGCUCGGCGGCUAUCUAGACACCUCAUUAGCAUGGAGAAGAACUCCAGGUGUUUAGGCUACAUGACCCAGUGCUAUGAUCCUCAUUGGGGUGUCAUGGUGUUGCAGUAAAUCUCCAAUCCCAAUAAACCCAGGCAUAAAACACAA
Molecule: non-coding RNA, 671 nt
Organism: Rattus norvegicus (Norway rat)
Lineage: Eukaryota; Metazoa; Chordata; Mammalia; Rodentia; Muridae
Source: RefSeq, a predicted model, not a curated record